GGAUGCGAUCAUACCAGCACUAAAGCAUCGGAUCCCAUCAGAACUCCGAAGUUAAGCGUACUUGGGCGAGAGUAGUACUAGGAUGGGUGACCUCCUGGGAAGUCCUCGUGUUGCAUUCC
RNAcentral lists this ribosomal RNA (119 nucleotides) under Triticum aestivum (bread wheat). The record is from RNAcentral. Lineage: Eukaryota; Viridiplantae; Streptophyta; Magnoliopsida; Poales; Poaceae.